GCGGAGGAAAAGAAACCAACAGGGAUUGCCCCAGUAACGGCGAGUGAAGCGGCAACAGCUCAAAUUUGAAAUCUGGCGCAAGCCCGAGUUGUAAUUUGCAGAGGAUGCUUUUGGUGCGGUGCCUUCUGAGUUCCCUGGAACGGGACGCCGGAGAGGGUGAGAGCCCCGUACAGUUGGACACCAAGCCUUUGUAAAGCUCCUUCGACGAGUCGAGUAGUUUGGGAAUGCUGCUCUAAAUGGGAGGUAAAUGCCUUCUAAAGCUAAAUACCGGCCAGAGACCGAUAGCGCACAAGUAGAGUGAUCGAAAGAUGAAAAGCACUUUGAAAAGAGGGUUAAAAAGUACGUGAAAUUGUUGAAAGGGAAGCGCUCGUGACCAGACUUGCGCCCGGCGGAUCAUCCGGCCUUCUGGCCGGUGCACUUCGCCGGGCUCAGGCCAGCAUCGGUUCUUCUGGGGGGACAAAAGCAGUGGGAACGUAGCUCCUCCGGGAGUGUUAUAGCCCGCCGCAGAAUACCCCCGGGGGGACCGAGGACCGCGCUUCGGCAAGGAUGCUGGCGUAAUGGUCACCAGCGACCCGUCUUGAAACACGGACCAAGGAGUCAAGCAUUAGGGCGAGUGUUUGGGUGUCAAACCCGCACGCGAAAUGAAAGUGAACGCAGGUGAGAGCUUCGGCGCAUCAUCGACCGAUCCUGAUGUUUUCGGAUGGAUUUGAGUAAGAGCCUUACCGCUUGGACCCGAAAGAUGGUGAACUAUGCUUGGAUAGGGUGAAGCCAGAGGAAACUCUGGUGGAGGCUCGCAGCGGUUCUGACGUGCAAAUCGAUCGUCAAAUCUGAGCAUGGGGGCGAAAGACUAAUCGAACCAUCUAGUAGCUG
Molecule: ribosomal RNA, 870 nt
Filed under: Myrmecridium phragmiticola
Lineage: Eukaryota; Fungi; Ascomycota; Sordariomycetes; Myrmecridiales; Myrmecridiaceae
Description: partial large subunit ribosomal RNA
Rfam family: Eukaryotic large subunit ribosomal RNA
Source: RNAcentral